Molecule: ribosomal RNA, 492 nt
Filed under: uncultured bacterium
Lineage: Bacteria
Description: partial 16S ribosomal RNA
Rfam family: Bacterial small subunit ribosomal RNA
Source: RNAcentral
AGUGAACGCUGGCGGUAGGCCUAACACAUGCAAGUCGAACGGCAGCACAGUAAGAGCUUGCUCUUACGGGUGGCGAGUGGCGGACGGGUGAGGAAUACAUCGGAAUCUACUUUUUCGUGGGGGAUAACGUAGGGAAACUUACGCUAAUACCGCAUACGACCUACGGGUGAAAGCAGAGGAUCUUCGGACCUUUCGCGAUUGAAUGAGCCGAUGUCGGAUUAGCUAGUUGGCGGGGUAAAGGCCCACCAAGGCAACGAUCCGUAGCUGGUCUGAGAGGAUGAUCAGCCACACUGGAACUGAGACACGGUCCAGACUCCUACGGGAGGCAGCAGUGGGGAAUAUUGGACAAUGGGCGCAAGCCUGAUCCAGCAAUGCCGCGUGAGUGAAGAAGGCCUUCGGGUUGUAAAGCCCUUUUGUUGGGAAAGAAAAGCAGCAGGAGAAUACCCCGCUGUUCUGACGGUACCCAAAGAGUAAGCACCGGCUAACUUCGUG